GAGGUGGUGGUGGUGACCAAGGGCACGAUGGGAUGGGAGCCACUUGGUGGCCACCCAUCUCCCCCCACGCCCAGAGCCCCUGGGCACCGGUAGAGCGCAGUGUGGAAGCGGGCGGUCCUGCCCACCUCCUUGCUCAGGUCUGUUGAGGUUCGGGGGAGAAUGUCCAAGCGGCAGGGAGCUAGGAGCCACAGGGAGCCCUGGCCCUGGGAGGUCCCAGGCUCUGGUCCCCACACACCAGGUGGCCUUGAGGAUCCCGGUCUCCACAGACCUCUGGGCAGCCCUGGGGCCCAGCAGCAGCCUCUCUGAUUAGACCUGGAGGUCAGCAGGUCACAUUUGGCCCUGUCCCCCCUGUGUGCCCGCAGAAGGCCCUGUGAAGGAGGGGAGAGGGAACCACCUGUCCCCUUGAAGGACCCGCGUAGUCCGAGAGAGCUCAUUCCCUUGCCGGUCCCCAAAGCCUCACCCUCCGGGUUUCCUAGACUGCUGAUUGUUUCCUGCACCCCAUGCCAGGCCCAGAGGACAGGAAGUGAUGGAGGGAAUCAGCGUGCCACAGUGUGUGACCGUGGGUGAUGAAACUGGAUGUGUGUGAGAGGCUGGAGCGGGACCGUGUGGGUGGAUGGCGUGGGAGAGGAGCCCUGGUGUGUGUGACCGCACGCGAGGCUGGACGUGGGCGUGAGAGAAGCUGUCUGUGACUGUGAGGUCCGGUGUGUGAGCCUGAUAGGGUGAGUUCAGAAGAGGGCCGGCCAUGUGUCUUCCGUGUGUCCUUCUGGGUGUGUUUGUGAGGGACUGCCUGGUGGCAUUCCAUGUGAGGGCAUCACACUGGCCGGGUGCCUGCGGACGACACUGCUUUGUGCGAGGGACCCUGUGAUUGUGUGACACUGCCCGUAUCAGAGGCAGAACGAGUGACAUCGUGCAACGCAUGGUGCUGUGGUGACAACUCCUGAUGUGUGUGUGAAACCGUUUGUGCGGUGGCCUCAAGACUGACUCUGUGUGACACCAGGUGUGAGUGAAACCACAGGACUGUGACAGUGUGACACGCAUCAGGGCAUGGUGGGCAGGCUGAGCACCCGUGGUGAGGAGCUGUGAGUGCUGUGUGCAGGAGACACGGACCCCGAGAAGGCCUCCCCUAGUUGUGCAGCUGUGUGUGCAAGAAGGGAGCCGUGGGUGUGACAGGCUGGCUGUGUGGGUGGUCACUGCAUCAGCACGGGUGGGUGGCAUCCACAGGGGCUGUGCCAGGCAGGGCGUGGGACACUGCCACACGUGGCAGGCCUGGGGCCCCGCGCGGGGCAUCUGUGUGGAUGAUCACAAACAACGAUAGUGUGAAAAACAGAAUGUGCUCAGCUGCACACAGAAAAGUGGUUUGAGUGGCAAAUUUUAUGUAUAUCUUACCACAAUACAAUUAAGAAAAAAACACCAACCAGAAGAAGCCAGGAAAGAGGUGCGGGGUGGUGGCUGUGGCCUUGUGUGGCACAGGGCCGGCCACAGGAGCAGCAUAGAGGAAGUGUGUUCAUGUGGGGUUUUGUUGUUUUUUGGGUUUUUUUUUGGUACCGGGGAUCAAACUCGGGACCUUGCGCUUAUGAGGCAGGCGGUGGAACCACUGAGCUAAAUCCCCGGCCCCAGGAAGUGUGUUCAUAGAGGACACUGUGACCCUUUUGGUGGGCAGAGUGGCCGGAGGGGCUGGUGGCAGCGCAGUGGGUGACCAGGGGACCUGGAGGGGGCCUGAGAUGGCGCCCAUCAACAUGCUAAGUAAGAACCGGGGCCCUAGCCUGGCCCCCGCUGGGGACGUGGGAGCCCCUCCCUGGCAGUGGGAUGAGAGGCCCAGAGGACCAGACCCUCCGGAGAGGGCCUGACCCCUUCCCUUGCUGCUCUGGGAGGGGCAGCAGCGGGUAAGACUUGGGGAAGAGAGCCUGGGGGGGGCAGUCCCGCCCCCCCACAGCUCCCGAGAAAGCCCUCACCCCAGUGGUGCUGAGGGGUGACUCUCUUCCCAAAUUGGAAGCACGUGAAUGAGCCCAGCGGGAUGCGCCCUCUCACCCCCAUGGGCUCUGCAAAUUGCUUCCUCCUGUGGAAAUCUUCAUCCUCCUCCCCAGCCUGGCAGGGUGUGGCCCCUUGGCAGGGUCCCCUGGGGUCCUUGGGCUGGAGGUGGGGGAGACAGACACCAUCCCCACCCCCUCUCCGAGCCCAGAAUGGGCCGACCGGCCGGCCGCUUCCAGGGUAGGAGCCUCUGGCAGCUGGAGAACAGCUGGCGGGUGGCAGGCAGCGGGAGGGAGGCUGGGGGGUGGGGAGGCUGCAGGCCUCCUCUUUCCCCAUCCUUCACCCCAUGGCUCGGUGCCCAGGGCAGGCCCGGGAUGCCCAGGGGACUGUGGGGUUCUCUGUCUUCCUGCCACCUUGAGCAGUACCGCCUCAAAGCCGGAGCACCUGGGCCAGGGUCCCUGCAGGGGUGGGUGGUAGCUGCCUGCAGGGCCUGAUAAGGCCCCAGUUCAGCCUUGGCUCCCCAUGGGGCUGCAGAGGUGCCGCCUGCCAGGUCACCUUGUCCCAUCUAUGUCCCCCACUGUGGCAGCUGCUCAGGGGAACCCCACACUUCAGGUUGGUGCCCCAUCCCCCUCAAAAGGGAGCUCUGGGGCUGGGUGGUCUGGAGUCUGGGGCCUCUGGGGUCUGGGGGGCCAGGACCUCUGUAGCAGCCCCCAACUCUGGCCUCCAUUCCUGGAGCCAUCUGGCCAGUUCUGCCAGCAGACCCGGGGGGGGGGCAGCGAGGCACCCCGUAUCUCCCCAGAGCUCGGCCUGCUCUCCCAGCCUUCCGAGACCCUGACCCUGCCACCACUCAGUGGUACUUCUGACCCCAGAAGGCUGAGGCCUGGGAGCCAGGCUUAGGUGUGCCGGCCGGCCGAGGUGGGACAGGUGAGUGGCAGGCGCCCUGUGCGGCUCCCUCACACCCGGCCCUCCUGGCGGCUCUCUGUCCUCAUCCACGUGUCUCCUACUUCUGCUCCUGCCAUUCCACUGCCUGUCUCGCCAGCAUCCCCUCUGUCCCUUUACCCCUCUGCUGCCUGUGUUGGGGCUCUGCCUCUUUGCUGGUCUCACCCCCCUCCCCUUUGCUGUCUGUCUGUCUGUCUCCGCCCCUCCUGAGUCCCGGUGGCCCCCGCAGCUGUGAUCGCCACGUGUGAGCCAGGCUUGCAGGGGACGAAUGCAGGCCUGCGCUGCCGCUGCCGGGAGGGCUGCGUUUGGGGGGUACCACCUAUGGGUCUUGGUGUGGGCCCCCCUGUGCCCAAGGGAGCCCCGGAAAGCCGGUGGUGCGGGUGCCCGGGAGGCAGGGUCCCCACUGGACGACCUCGUGCGCCGGCCCCGCCCCUCCCCCCGACUGCCCUGUCCCGAGGCCGCCCCGCCCCCCAGUC
Molecule: long non-coding RNA, 3383 nt
Organism: Heterocephalus glaber (naked mole-rat)
Lineage: Eukaryota; Metazoa; Chordata; Mammalia; Rodentia; Bathyergidae
Source: Ensembl